UAUUGCACAAUGGGCGCAAGCCUGAUGCAGCGACGCCGCGUGAGUGAAGAAGUAUCUCGGUANUUAAAGCACUAUCAGCAGGGAANNACNNNANGGUACCUGACUAAGAAGCCCCGGCUAACUACGUGCCAGCAGCCGCGGUAAUAUGUAGGGGGCAAGCGUUAUCCGGAUUUACUGGGUGUAAAGGGAGCGUAGACGGCGACGCAAGUAUGGAGUGAAAGCCCGGGGCCCAACCCCGGGACUGCUUUGGAAACUGUGCUGCUGGAGUGCAGGAGAGGUAAGUGGAAUUCCUAGUGUAGCGGUGAAAUGCGUAGAUAUUAGGAGGAACACCAGUGGCGAAGGCGGCUUACUGGACUGUAACUGACGUUGAGGCUCGAAAGCGUGGGGAGCAA
Molecule: ribosomal RNA, 392 nt
Filed under: uncultured bacterium
Lineage: Bacteria
Description: bacterial SSU rRNA
Rfam family: Bacterial small subunit ribosomal RNA
Source: RNAcentral